Saccostrea cuccullata (small rock oyster) is the source of this 361-nucleotide long non-coding RNA. RefSeq lists it as uncharacterized. NCBI's taxonomy places the organism in Eukaryota, Metazoa, Mollusca, Bivalvia, Ostreida, Ostreidae. The transcript is spliced from 3 exons. The record is from RefSeq and is a predicted model, not a curated record.
UAAUAAAGAAUGGGUCAAAGAAUUCUCACUUCAUGCUGCAUAACAGUACAUUUCAGUUGUAACAAAACAAAUUAUCUGAUGAAAGCUUCAACCACAGGAACAUGAGGAAUCUAGGAAAGGAUGUCAAGUCCAAAGAGAAGGCCAUAUAACAAAUAAUUGCUAAAUUCAUGAAGACUAGCUGGGAUGAUACAGUACUUUUCUACUCUUAUGAACCAUAUUUAAACAUAAUUUGAGGAUCCCUUUCUCAAAAAAAAAAAAGAAUUUGCAUAUUCAAAGACUCUAUAGUUUAUUGUUUAUUUGUACAUUGUUUAACAUUCUUCUUGAGAAUUUUUCACUCAUAUGGGGAUGUCAACAUUUGCCA